This 497-nucleotide ribosomal RNA is filed under the name uncultured bacterium. RNAcentral describes it as "partial 16S ribosomal RNA". It matches the Rfam family "Bacterial small subunit ribosomal RNA", at positions 28 to 507 of the family's 1533-position model. The record is from RNAcentral.
GACGAACGCUGGCGGCGUGCCUAAUACAUGCAAGUUGAGCGCUGAAGGUUGGUACUUGUACCGACUGGAUGAGCAGCGAACGGGUGAGUAACGCGUGGGGAAUCUGCCUUUGAGCGGGGGACAACAUUUGGAAACGAAUGCUAAUACCGCAUAAAAACUUUAAACACAAGUUUUAAGUUUGAAAGAUGCAAUUGCAUCACUCAAAGAUGAUCCCGCGUUGUAUUAGCUAGUUGGUGAGGUAAAGGCUCACCAAGGCGAUGAUACAUAGCCGACCUGAGAGGGUGAGCGGCCCCAUUGGGACGGAGACACGGCCCAAACUCCUACGGGAGGCAGCAGUAGGGAAUCGUCGGCAAGGGACGAAAGUCUGACCGAGCAACGCCGCGUGAGGGAAGAAGGUUUUCGGGUCGUAAAACUCUGUUGGUAGAGAAGAACGUUGGUGAGAGUGGAAAGCUCAUCAAGUGACGGUAACUACCCAGAAAGGGACGGCUAACUACGUG